GAUGAACGCUGGCGGCGUGCUUAACACAUGCAAGUCGAACGAUGAUCCCAGCUUGCUGGGGAUUAGUGGCGAACGGGUGAGUAACACGUGAGUAACCUGCCCUUGACUCUGGGAUAAGCCUGGGAAACUGGGUCUAAUACCGGAUACGACCAUCUGGCGCAUGUCAUGGUGGUGGAAAGCUUUUGUUGGUUUGGAUGGACUCGCGGCCUAUCAGCUUGUUGGUGGGGAAU
This 230-nucleotide ribosomal RNA is filed under the name uncultured bacterium. RNAcentral's name for it is "partial 16S ribosomal RNA". It matches the Rfam family "Bacterial small subunit ribosomal RNA", at positions 28 to 260 of the family's 1533-position model. The record is from RNAcentral.